RNAcentral lists this ribosomal RNA (468 nucleotides) under uncultured bacterium. RNAcentral describes it as "partial 16S ribosomal RNA". It matches the Rfam family "Bacterial small subunit ribosomal RNA", at positions 28 to 507 of the family's 1533-position model. The record is from RNAcentral.
GACGAACGCUGGCGGCGUGCUUAACACAUGCAAGUCGAACGGAAAGGCCCUGCAUUUGUGGGGUGCUCGAGUGGCGCACGGUUGAGUAACACGUGAGUAACCUGCCCUUUACUUUGGGAUAACUUCAGGAAACUGGGGCUAAUACCGGAUAUGAGCUCCUGCUGCAUGGUGGGGGUUGUAAAGUUUCGGCGGUUUGGGAUGGACUCGCGGUUUAUCAGUUUGUUGGUGAGGUAGUGGCUUACCAAGGCUUUGACGGGUAGCUGGCCUGGGAGGGUGACCGGCCACAUUGGCACUAAGAUACGACCCAUACUCCUACGUCAGACAGCAGUGGAAAAUAUUGCACAAUAGGCCGAAGCCUGUUACAACAACGUCGCGUCCGAAAUGACGGCCUUCGGGUUAUAAACCUCUUUCGCCUGUAACGAACCUUAAGUGACGGUAAUUACUAAAAAAGCACCGGCUAACUACGUG